RNAcentral lists this ribosomal RNA (675 nucleotides) under uncultured Bacteroidota bacterium. RNAcentral's name for it is "bacterial SSU rRNA". It matches the Rfam family "Bacterial small subunit ribosomal RNA", at positions 76 to 748 of the family's 1533-position model. The record is from RNAcentral. Lineage: Bacteria; Pseudomonadati; Bacteroidota.
GUAGCAAUACCUGUUGGCGACCGGCAAACGGGUGAGGAACAUGUACGCAACCCUCCUUUAACUGGAGAAUAGCCCCUCGAAAGAGGGAUUAAUACUCCGUAACAUAUUGAUAAGGCAUCUUAUUAAUAUUAUAGCUCCGGCGGUUAAAGAUGGGCGUGCACCUGAUUAGAUAGUUGGCGGGGUAAUGGCCCACCAAGUCUGCGAUCAGUAACUGGUGUGAGAGCACGACCAGUCACACGGGCACUGAGACACGGGUCCGACUCCUACGGGAGGCAGCAGUAAGGAAUAUUGGUCAAUGGACGCAAGUCUGAACCAGCCAUGCCGCGUGGAGGAUUAAGGCCCUCUGGGUUGUAAACUCCUUUUAUCUGGGAAGAAAUGUACUUUUUCUUGAGUACUUGACGGUACCAGAGGAAUAAGCACCGGCUAACUCCGUGCCAGCAGCCGCGGUAAUACGGAGGGUGCAAGCGUUAUCCGGAUUCACUGGGUUUAAAGGGUGCGUAGGUGGGCAGGUAAGUCAGUGGUGAAAUCUCCGAGCUUAACUCGGAAACUGCCGUUGAUACUAUUUGUCUUGAAUAUUGUGGAGGUAAGCGGAAUAUGUCAUGUAGCGGUGAAAUGCUUAGAUAUGACAUAGAACACCAAUUGCGAAGGCAGCUUACUACACAAUUAUUGACGCUG